AGAGAGAGAAAGCUUAGAAGAAGGAUCUGUGACUUUAGAGAGAGAAGGAGCGAACUCUGAACUGAUAAAGCAAUAUUCCUUCACACAGAGAGAGAGAGAUAGAGGACGGCAAUGGUGGCUUGAGACCAGCUGCAUUAUACGUUACGUAACACCAGACCGAGCUGCAGAUAUUUGCAUAGGCUGAGAGAGAGAGAGAGAGGGAGAGGGAGGGAAUAUAUUCUCUGCUGCGAGCUUUGGCGGUGCGGUCGAUCGAGGGGGAGCUAUGGCGAUUGAUGAAUUGGAGACGUCGGAGGACGAGAGGAGGAAGACAACGAGGGUCAAGUCUCUCAAGAAGAAGGCCAUGAAUGCUUCGACUAAGAUCACUCACUCCUUGAGAAAGCGGAGCAGGCGGGUCGCGGAUUGCAGGUAUGCCGCGAUUUGCAGGUAUGCCGCUAUCUCGGUCGAGGACGUGAGGGACUCGGAGGAGGAGGAAGCUGUGAAUGCUUUUCGUCGGGCGCUGAUUUCCCGAGACCUGCUUCCGCCUCGUCUUGACGACUACCAUACCAUGUUGAGGUUUCUGAAGGCCAGGAAGUUUGACCUUGGGAAAACCAUGCACAUGUGGGAAGAAAUGCUCAAUUGGAGGAAAGAGAAUCGUAUAGACACUAUUGCACAGGAUUUUGUAUAUGAUGAAUAUGAAGAAGUUCAAUCAUGUUAUCCUCAUGGUUACCAUGGUGUAGACAAAGAGGGCCGACCCGUUUAUAUUGAAAGACUAGGAAAACUCGAGCCUAGCAAGCUAAUGGCUAUCACCACAGUGGAGCGAUUUCUGAAGUACCAUAUUCAAGGGUUUGAAAAAGCCUUUGAUGAGAAGUUUCCUGCCUGUUCCAUUGCUGCUAAAAGGCAUAUUGAUUCCACCACCACGAUUUUGGAUGUCCAAGGAUUGAAUAUAAUGACCUUUGGAAAAGUUGCCCAUGACCUUGUUAUGCGCAUGCAGAAAAUCGAUGGUGACAACUAUCCCGAGACGUUGCAUCAGAUGUUCAUUGUAAAUGCUGGUCAUGGAUUUAGGCUCCUCUGGAACACAGCAAAAGGAUUUCUUGACCCGAAGACCACAUCAAAGAUACAUGUCUUGGGUAACAAGUUCCAAAGCAAGCUGUUGGAUGUUAUAGAUUCAAGCCAAUUGCCUGAUUUUCUUGGUGGAACUUGCACAUGUGCAAAUAAAGGUGGAUGCCUCAGAUCUGACAAAGGACCGUGGAAUGAUGCAGAAAUAAUGAAGCUGGUGCGGACUGGGGAAGCAAUAUACUUGAGGAAAAUGAAAGAUUAUUCUGAUUGCUUUGAGUUGGAAGGGGAUCUCUUUCCCACUAAGAUUGCCAGUAAUGAAGUAUCUUUUGCAGGAUCACCAGAACUGACAACAAGUACUUCUUCCCACGUGCCAACAUCAAUUAAUUUCGAGGAAGAAAGGAUAAACACUGAGGCUUCUCCCCAUGAUGAAAUUGAGCCUGCCACAGAUGCUUCCCAGAAUGAAGUUGGCAAUUCUCCAGAUGACUCUAUUGAUUAUGAUAUCCAGAGGAGGACAGUACCUCAAGUUGGAAGUUCAGCUGUUUUCUUCAUGAUGAAGUUGUUAGCGUUUGUGUACCUUCUAUUUCACCGGAUUGGUAGAGUAUUUUCAGUUAGACAUGCACCCAGAGAGGUAGAAGACCAAACCAGAUCCCUAACAGGGGGGGAUUCAGGACUACCUCAGGUGUCGCAUAGCAAUUCUCAGGUGGUAGAACAAGAAGCCCUCGAGCCAUGCUGGCAGAGGCUGCAACAUCUGGAAGCGGUAGUUACAGAACUUGUAAAUAGACCUAAGAAAAUCCCACCAGAGAAAGAGGAUAUGCUUCUUGAGUCACUGAGCCGCAUCAGAUCUAUAGAGUAUGAUCUGCAGAAGACAAAGAAGGCGCUGUUUGCUACCACGUCAAAGCAAGUGGAGCUAGCGCGGUCACUGGAAAGCUUGAAGGAGAACAGCUUGGCAACAACCACGACGUGUUGGCCAAGACCAUGUGGAUCUUUUCCACCGGACGGAUGAUAGCCACCAAAUUUGUUUUGGUCAUACUGAGUUUGCAAUCUCAAGCCCCCAUUCAUUGGCUGUACUGACAAGACUUGCUGUAGGUCUGAAGCUCUGCAUGGGGGGAACCGGCGCGGUUGCCGUUCCAAUAGGUUAUCAAGCUUUGGAGUAGGAAGCGGUCAUCCAACAUAGACUUAAUCGAUGUGGAGCCCGACUUCUUUCGCACCUAGGCGCAGCAGUGAGCUUGUUUGCUGUGAUGUUUUCUUCACCUGUACAGAGUACGAUGGCUUUUGCCACCCUCCCCGCUUACUGAUCGAUGCUGUUACAUACAAACCACAGUCGAAAUUGUGCGAUGGUGCAAUUUUUAUGUCGACUUAAUCCAAAUAAGAGUGAGCAUUGUUAAUAUUUGGCUGGUACGAUGUCACAUUGAUUACUUACUAUUUAUAUGGAAACUUUUCUUUACAA
This is a non-coding RNA of Punica granatum (pomegranate), 2482 nucleotides long. The record is from RefSeq and is a predicted model, not a curated record. NCBI's taxonomy places the organism in Eukaryota, Viridiplantae, Streptophyta, Magnoliopsida, Myrtales, Lythraceae.